Equus caballus (horse) is the source of this 1148-nucleotide non-coding RNA. The record is from RefSeq and is a predicted model, not a curated record. NCBI's taxonomy places the organism in Eukaryota, Metazoa, Chordata, Mammalia, Perissodactyla, Equidae.
UUGCUGAGCGCCAUUCUCUAGGUGCUUUCCGGUUGGGAGAGGAAAGAACUGAAGACACCGUGCAGACCUCACCAGGUGGAGGAGCCAGACCUGAACGUGAAUGAUGGCGACACUGCGCGGCGGGGACCCCCAGGUGCCGCUGAAGCGCUGCCGGAGCACAGCAGAAGGAGCAGUGCGCGCUUGGGGUGGCCGGCCCAGGGACGGCUUCAGAGGACAUGGCAGAGCAGGACUGGCUCCACUGGACGUUAACCGAGCGCCUGCCACGUCCCAGGCUCUCUUCAUAUACUGUCACUUCUCCUUCCCACAAGGACUUACAGAGGUAGUCAUUUAUGUCCAUUUUACAGAUGAGAAAACUGAGGACUAGAAAGGUAAGGUAACUUGCUCAAGGUCACACAGCUAGUCAGUGAUGGUGCUGGGGUCUCAACUCCUAGCUCUUGCUAACUUCACAGGGGAUGGACUUUCCACUGUGUCCUGAUAUUUGCGAAGUCUUGAAAGACGUGUAGGAAUUUACCUGAGUGGAACAAGGGGAUAAGGAGCAUCCAGGCAAAAGUAACAGUAUUUGUUAUUCAAGAGCUGAGGUAUAACGAAAAUUAUAAAGCAAAGCACGUUUGAGCAACUGUAAAGAUGAAAUCAUAAGCGUGUAAUUAUAACCACGUGACUGACUUGAAUAGGGUCGUGUGCAAAUCCCUUUGCUUGGUCGAUUGAUGAUAAUUUCUAACAGGCCCAAGUUCUUGCUGACUGAAUCUUGAGGUUAACUUUCCGGACAUUCCCCGGGAAGCAGGGUGAGAUCCGCGCGCACGCCCGCCUCUGGCCCUGUCCCGGGGGUUCCGCGGGCUCCUGGGAUUCUCCGGUAUAGAAGCGUUAGCGCUGGAUCCGGCUUGAGCUGGCCUCAAGUGAUUUUCAAAAAACUGUUUCCAGUGCAACUACCAUCAGAACGUGGAUUAAGCACAGCGUUUGUUUGCAAGUCUGCAUCCGCCCUGCGGUAGGGAGGCUUUUUGUCUCCGAGGGCCUCGUCGGUACUCAGCGUUUGUUGACUGAAGCAGGGACGGCCCCGGGAGGGCGGCGCCGGCCGCAGGACCGACGUUGAGCAAGGCCCGCCGGACCUUAACCCCGGCUCUUCCUGCCGCUCCCGCCUCCCGCCGCCGAGC